RNAcentral lists this transfer RNA (73 nucleotides) under Aspergillus japonicus. RNAcentral describes it as "tRNA-Val". It matches the Rfam family "tRNA". From Rfam's summary of the family: Transfer RNA (tRNA) molecules are approximately 80 nucleotides in length. Their secondary structure includes four short double-helical elements and three loops (D, anti-codon, and T loops). Lineage: Eukaryota; Fungi; Ascomycota; Eurotiomycetes; Eurotiales; Aspergillaceae. The record is from RNAcentral. RNAcentral also lists the same sequence under 1 other name.
AAGAAAUUAGCUCAAUUGGUAGAGCAACCCCUUUACACGGGGUAGGUUGGGUGUUCAAGUCGCCUAUUUCUUA